CAGGCCUAACACAUGCAAGUCGAACGAUGCUUUCGGGCAUAGUGGCGCACGGGUGCGUAACGCGUGGGAAUCUGCCCCUUGGUUCGGAAUAACAGCUAGAAAUGGCUGCUAAUACCGGAUGACGACGUAAGUCCAAAGAUUUAUCGCCGAGGGAUGAGCCCGCGUAGGAUUAGCUGGUUGGUGUGGUAAAGGCGCACAAAGGCGACGAUCCUUAGCUGGUCUGAGAGGAUGAUCAGCCACACUGGGACUGAGACACGGCCCAGACUCCUACGGGAGGCAGCAGUGGGGAAUAUUGGACAAUGGGCGCAAGCCUGAUCCAGCAAUGCCGCGUGAGUGAUGAAGGCCUUAGGGUUGUAAAGCUCUUUUACCCGGGAUGAUAAUGACAGUACCGGGAGAAUAAGCUCCGGCUAACUCCGUGCCAGCAGCCGCGGUA
RNAcentral lists this ribosomal RNA (433 nucleotides) under uncultured bacterium. Its description in RNAcentral is "bacterial SSU rRNA". It matches the Rfam family "Bacterial small subunit ribosomal RNA", at positions 43 to 522 of the family's 1533-position model. The record is from RNAcentral.